This 253-nucleotide ribosomal RNA is filed under the name uncultured bacterium. Its description in RNAcentral is "partial 16S ribosomal RNA". It matches the Rfam family "Bacterial small subunit ribosomal RNA", at positions 524 to 776 of the family's 1533-position model. The record is from RNAcentral.
UACGGAGGGUGCAAGCGUUGUUCGGAUUUAUUGGGCGUAAAGCGCGUGUAGGCGGUCUCUUAAGUCUGAUGUGAAAGCCCCGGGCUCAACCCGGGAAGUGCAUUGGAUACUGGGAGACUUGAAUACGGGAGAGGGUAGUGGAAUUCCUAGUGUAGGAGUGAAAUCCGUAGAUAUUAGGAAGAACACCCGUGGCUAAGGCGGCUCUCUAGUACGGUACUGACGCUGAGACGCGAAAGCGUGGGGAGCGAACAGG